GGAAUUGACGGGACCCGCACAAGCAGCGGAGCGUGUGGUUAAUUCGAUGCUACACGAAGAACCUUACCAGGGUUUGACAUGCAAGUGGUAGGAAACUGAAAGGGACCGACCUUCGGGAGCUUGCACAGGUGCUGCAUGGCUGUCGUCAGCUCGUGUCGUGAGAUGUUCGGUUAAGUCCGCUAACGAGCGCAACCCUCACUGUGUGUUAUAUGUGUCACACGGGACUGCCGGUUUUAAGCCGGAGGAAGGUGGGAUGACGUCAAGUCAGCAUGGCCUUUAUAUCCUGGGCUACACACACGCUACAAUGGUCGGUACAAUAGGUUGCCAAGCCGCGAGGCGGAGCCAAUCCAAAAAAGCCGGCCUCAGUUCAGAUUGUAGGCUGCAACUCGCCUGCAUGAAGAUGGAGUUGCUAGUAACCGCAGGUCAGCAAUACUGCGGUGAAUACGUUCCCGGGUCUU
RNAcentral lists this ribosomal RNA (458 nucleotides) under uncultured Anaerolineaceae bacterium. Its description in RNAcentral is "bacterial SSU rRNA". It matches the Rfam family "Bacterial small subunit ribosomal RNA", at positions 906 to 1382 of the family's 1533-position model. The record is from RNAcentral. Lineage: Bacteria; Bacillati; Chloroflexota; Anaerolineae; Anaerolineales; Anaerolineaceae.